This 777-nucleotide long non-coding RNA is filed under the name Malus domestica (apple). RNAcentral's name for it is "long non-coding RNA (MDOM_LNC005399)". Lineage: Eukaryota; Viridiplantae; Streptophyta; Magnoliopsida; Rosales; Rosaceae. The record is from RNAcentral.
CCGCCAUUCCUCCACACCACAGCGUUCACUAUUCCCAUCCAGUAGCUUCCCCAACCCACCCACCGGCUUACCCACCCACUCACGGCCAGCACCACCGCCACCCCCACCCACACCCACCCACUGCCUCCCCGGUGCACCCACCAGCCCACUCUCCGUUUCACCCACCAAGCCCCCACCACCACCACGGCCACCCACCGGUUCACCCUCCUAUGUACCCACCUAAGAAACCUUUCCCAAGGAGCUUUGUAGCGGUUCAAGGCGUCGUUUACUGCAAAUCUUGCAACUACUCCGGCGUCGACACCCUUAACGGCGCCAAGCCAGUUCUUGGUUAGUCUAAAAUUUGUUUACUUUUUACAUAAUUUCAAAACAAAAAAAUGUACAUAUUUUGCAUAUAUAAAUAAACAAAAAAUUAGUGUUCUUGGUUUAGUCCAAAUUAGUCUAAUUUUUACAUUAUGCACCUAAAAAUAGUGUUCUCUUCAUGUCCAUAGGUACACAGCCAUUUUAUGAAAAUUACAAACAUCACAUGGUUUUGUUUUACUCAUUUUUCUAAUAAUUUGUUUGAAUUGUUUUUUUUUUUUGGGCAGGUGCUACAGUAAAGCUACAGUGCAACAACAGAAAGUUCCCAUUGGUUGUGAAGGAAACCACAGAUAAAAAUGGCUACUUUUUUAUCACGGCACCUAAGACCAUCACCACCUUUGGAGCUCACAAGUGCAAGGUGUCACUCGUCUCCUCUCCUUCCGUCGCCUGCUCCAAGCCGUCCGAUCUGCAUGGUGGACU